Molecule: ribosomal RNA, 207 nt
Filed under: uncultured bacterium
Lineage: Bacteria
Description: partial 16S ribosomal RNA
Rfam family: Bacterial small subunit ribosomal RNA
Source: RNAcentral
CAUGUAGGCGGAUUAAUAAGUUUGAAGUGAAAUCCUAUAGCUUAACUAUAGAACUGCUUUGAAAACUGUUAAUCUAGAAUGUGGGAGAGGUAGAUGAAAUUUCUGGUGUAGGGGUAAAAUCCGUAGAGAUCAGAAGGAAUACCGAUUGCGAAGGCGAUCUACUGGAACAUUAUUGACGCUGAGAUGCGAAAGCGUGGGGAGCAAACA